UGGGGAAUAUUGCGCAAUGGGCGAAAGCCUGACGCAGCGACGCCGCGUGGGGGAUGACGGCCUUCGGGGUUGUAAAACCUCUUUCAGCAGGGACGAAGCGAAAGUGACGGUACCUGCAGAAGAAGCACCGGCCAACCACGUGCCAGCAGCCGCGGUAAUACGUAGGGUGCAAGCGUUGUCCGGAAUUAUUGGGCGUAAAGAGCUCGUAGGCGGUUUGUUGCGUCGGCUGUGAAAACCUGAGGCUCAACCUCAGGCCUGCAGUCGAUACGAGCAGACUAGAGUGUUGCAGGGGAGACUGGAAAUUCCUGGUGUAGCGGUGAAAUGCGCAGAUAUCAGGAGGGACACCGGUGGCGAAGGCGGGUCUCUGGGCAACAACUGACGCUGAGGAGCGAAAGCGUGGGGAGCGAACAGGAUUAGAUACCCUGGUAGUCCACGCCGUAAACGUUGGGCGCUAGGUGUGGGGCCUCAUU
RNAcentral lists this ribosomal RNA (470 nucleotides) under uncultured bacterium. RNAcentral describes it as "partial 16S ribosomal RNA". It matches the Rfam family "Bacterial small subunit ribosomal RNA", at positions 355 to 834 of the family's 1533-position model. The record is from RNAcentral.